CGUAUAUCGCGCUUCCUCGUUACGAUAAGGGGAUCUAAUCUUCAUUAAUUGAAUUAUUGGGUCUUGAAGCUAGUCGCAGUUACUAUACUAUCUUACUCUAUCAGAAAGGGGGUAUGCUGAGAACAUCCUUUCUAGAUUUCACAUGGACAAGGCCCACCACUGCAAUUCCUGCCAAGUCACAAAUCUCUUCUUCUUCAGGGGCUUCCUG
This 208-nucleotide unclassified non-coding RNA is filed under the name Hevea brasiliensis (rubber tree). Lineage: Eukaryota; Viridiplantae; Streptophyta; Magnoliopsida; Malpighiales; Euphorbiaceae. The record is from RNAcentral.